UUGUUUUGUUUUGUAUAUGUUACGUUCUUUACACAAUGUUUUGUAAAUAGGCCCGGAGGCCAACAGUUCACAGAGGUAUGAAGGAUAGAUAAGACCUUUCGGUCAAUCAUUAAUGAUCCUUCCGCAGGUUCACCUACGGAAA
RNAcentral lists this unclassified non-coding RNA (142 nucleotides) under uncultured fungus. RNAcentral's name for it is "sequence contains ITS1". The record is from RNAcentral. Lineage: Eukaryota; Fungi.